CGUCAAUGCAAACCGUUGUUCCUGUGUCAACGUUGACUGUUCGUUUUAUAUAAAAAUUUUUAUAAUUAGUAUUUUCAUUAUUGUUAGAUGAUAAAACAUGAUUAAUACUUUAUGCGUGACUUAUCUUUUUAAUUUUUUAAAUAAGACGAACGGUCAAACGUUGGACACGGAAAUCAGGGUUUGUCUUUUU
This is a microRNA precursor of Oryza rufipogon (brownbeard rice), 190 nucleotides long. It matches the Rfam family "MIR812 microRNA precursor family". The record is from Rfam. NCBI's taxonomy places the organism in Eukaryota, Viridiplantae, Streptophyta, Magnoliopsida, Poales, Poaceae.